Molecule: ribosomal RNA, 113 nt
Rfam family: Bacterial small subunit ribosomal RNA
AUUAUGGAGAGUUUGAUCCUGGCUCAGGACUAACGCUGGCGGCGUGCCUAACACAUGCAAGUCGAACGGGGUAGCAAUACCCAGUGGCAGACGGGUGAGUAACACGUGGUCAA